This 300-nucleotide ribosomal RNA is filed under the name Triticum aestivum (bread wheat). RNAcentral describes it as "partial small subunit ribosomal RNA". Lineage: Eukaryota; Viridiplantae; Streptophyta; Magnoliopsida; Poales; Poaceae. The record is from RNAcentral.
AUGGAGUCAAAUGGUGUUGAAAACUAUCUAUAUGGACGGGGGAUGUCAAUAGCUACUCAACGAGGUAAAGAAUGUCAAAAACGGACUUCGGGAGCAAAAGUUAUGGCCGAAACGGUGUUGGUCGGUGAGCUGAUUCGGGGAGGUGCGGGUGCCCGGGGGUGGAAGGUGCGGGCACCCGGGGUGGUCAGCGAGGUUGGGCUGAAGAAGAGGCCCGGGGGUCCGGGUGCCCGGGGGCAAGAGGUGCGGGCACCCGGGGUGGUCCGGGGCAAACAGCCCGGGGUGCGGGUUGCUACCUCUUGA